AAUCGGAUUGACUGGGCUGUUUGGGGCCCAUAUGGCUGGACAGCUGGACAGCUCCACUGAAAAGACACCAUUGCCCCUCGGAUGGGAUAAAGCAGGGCUUCCCCAGAGAGCUCAGACAUGACCUAAGUAUUAGCGUAGCCUGGGGUGAAGACUGAGUUAAAUCUCUCCCCCUUCUUGAGGUUAAAAUAAAGACAACAGAAAUCAAAAGGGGAGUACUUUUGAAUUCAUUGUGAAUGGCGAGCCUCCUGCUGGUCCUACCGUAGGAAGGAGGGAAGACUGAGAGGUGCCCUUCAGCUGAGCACAUGCAUGAGGGUGGGUAAACGGAAGGGGCAGGAGAUUGGAAAGAAAUAUAUUAUUUGCCAAACCGUGGCAUGUGUCAGUGACAUUUGUGGUUCCCUGUUCAGAGAAGCAGGGUUCUGACCUCCCUCAGCUGAUGCUCCAAUGUUAACCAAGAAGAACAGCGUCUGAGUGCGAUUUCCACGAAUCGACAGUCUCACAGCCACGAGAAUCCCAUUUUACAAAGAGAAGACAAGCCAGACUGCUUUAAAUGACUUGGUGAAGUGUGUAAACUGGGAUUGGGGUGCAAGCCUGCCAGCCCCGAAGAUUCUGCUUUCUCCAUCAUAACACCAUUCCAUAACACCAUCUUCUAGAACGCAGAUGACGUUAUAUAAUGCAAAGCUUGUAUUAAAAAAAAAAAAAACCCCAAAAAAUCAAACCAAACAAACCAAAACAGCAUUUGUCCUGCAGCACACAAGCAGGGUGAGGCGACAGCAGAUCAGCAGAGGAGAAAUGUCACUUAAGACUGUUUUUUUCCACUGCUAAACAGUGUUGUACACUAUGCAAAUGGGAUUGCAAAGGGUAGGUUGUUACUAACCCUUUGAUGCUAGAUGUGUUUCAGAGAUGAUACUUGGGGCAAUCAACAUAAACUGCAUAUACUGUAUCCUAAAUAAUGGAACUGCUGGUGUGCAUCAUUCUGCCAUCCUCCCUACGACCCGGGAAGCCGAAGGCAAUGAUCUAUAGAGACAAUAAGUGUGCAUUUAAACAGCAUCUUUUAAGGGCAGUAGCACUGUUUCACCACCUGGGGAGGGGAAGGGGAGGGGUACCAGAGAAUUUAGCAAUCCUUUCGAGGGUAGAGUUCCCCUGGGGAAUUUCUGGGGGUGGCAGGCUGUCUAUCAAGGUGCAUACUUUCUUCUGGGUGAACUCUUGCAUCAGGAUACCCCAAGACAGGCCUGGUAAAGCAAGGUCUCUUGUUUGGCCCACACUCCAUUUUUGGUGCCUGGUCAGACAUGGGAGCUGGUACCAUACAAUGUAAAAUGAAAGGAAGAACUGAUACAAAAAAAGAUGUGGGAAUAAAGAAAAAAAAAGUGAGGUUGGGGUGGGGAAAGAUGAUAGAGGCCGCACAAGCCUUACAACUUGAGUUCCAUUCCAGAACCCAUGGUAGAGAGAGCAGACUUCUCAAAGUUGUCCUCUGACCUUCACCCAUGUGCUGUGGCACCCCUUACCUCACCCUUUAUGCACACAGACACAGCUAAUAAAUAAAAACUAGAGA
Arvicanthis niloticus (Nile rat) is the source of this 1549-nucleotide long non-coding RNA. RefSeq lists it as uncharacterized. The record is from RefSeq and is a predicted model, not a curated record. Lineage: Eukaryota; Metazoa; Chordata; Mammalia; Rodentia; Muridae.